This 578-nucleotide ribosomal RNA is filed under the name Nonomuraea sp. AMS362. RNAcentral describes it as "bacterial SSU rRNA". It matches the Rfam family "Bacterial small subunit ribosomal RNA", at positions 56 to 657 of the family's 1533-position model. Lineage: Bacteria; Bacillati; Actinomycetota; Actinomycetes; Streptosporangiales; Streptosporangiaceae. The record is from RNAcentral.
UGCAGUCGAGCGGAAGGCCCUUCGGGGUACUCGAGCGGCGAACGGGUGAGUAACACGUGAGCAACCUGCCCCUGACUCUGGGAUAAGCCCGGGAAACUGGGUCUAAUACCGGAUACGACCGCCUCCGGCAUCGGGUGGUGGUGGAAAGUUUUUCGGUUGGGGAUGGGCUCGCGGCCUAUCAGCUUGUUGGUGGGGUAGUGGCCUACCAAGGCGACGACGGGUAGCCGGCCUGAGAGGGCGACCGGCCACACUGGGACUGAGACACGGCCCAGACUCCUACGGGAGGCAGCAGUGGGGAAUAUUGCGCAAUGGGCGGAAGCCUGACGCAGCGACGCCGCGUGGGGGAUGACGGCCUUCGGGUUGUAAACCUCUUUCAGCAGGGACGAAGUUGACGUGUACCUGCAGAAGAAGCGCCGGCUAACUACGUGCCAGCAGCCGCGGUAAUACGUAGGGCGCAAGCGUUGUCCGGAAUUAUUGGGCGUAAAGAGCUCGUAGGUGGCUGGUCGCGUCUGCCGUGAAAGCCCGCGCCUUAACUGCGGGUCUGCGGUGGAUACGGGCCGGCUAGAGGUAGGUAGGGG